Molecule: long non-coding RNA, 4149 nt
Organism: Gasterosteus aculeatus aculeatus (three-spined stickleback)
Lineage: Eukaryota; Metazoa; Chordata; Actinopteri; Perciformes; Gasterosteidae
Source: Ensembl
ACCUCGAUUUUAGCUGCAACAACAGCUGCAACAGCUGGUCGCUUGGUACUGCUACGGGAGGGGCGGUGUUUGCCGCUUGGCAUUUAGAGACAUGAUCAUUUGACGAAGCAACGACACUACUUACUUAGUGGCACAAGCUAAACAGUUGUUGAUGCAUUUUGGUCAUGCGUUUUUUUUUUAAUGUCCUCAUACAGCCAGUCAAGACAAUGGCGCCACUUGCUUCCCGACAGGUGAGGCUGAGCAAUGUGAUUAGUGGCAGCGUGAGUAAUAACUCUCUAGAAAUGGAGCCAGUGUUGCUCAUUAGGCAGAGCGGAGCGGAGAGGCUCCGACUGACUAAACGCAGCGGUGCGUCAUGGAGGUUGCGGGUGUCGCUGGAGCAGAUGAACCACAGCGUGGUGAGGAAAGAAAAGAGGAACUUUGUGCUGAUGAUCUCUCCUUCACUUGGGUGCUGUGGUCUUACAUGAACAACAUUCUUGAGCCCUAUUUUCCCGCGUGGACUGAUACCCCGAAAUGACUAACCCCGCCAAGACUGCCACGUGCACAGUGGCAGAGUGUGCGAAGCUCAUUCUAAAUGGGAUUUGCUUUAAUCGGCUCUCAGAUUAUUUCUGCCAGUGGCAAUGACCUGUUGCCAGUUAUAUUUGACCACUUUUUUAAAAUGCCCUUCUUCCUGGCAUGCGGUCCCGGCUCGAUGGGAGAGAACGGCACCAGGAAAUGACCCGAUUCUUUGCCGAAGUCAAUGUUCUUUGCAGUCACGUCAACGGCGCAAGCUAUUAAUUAAAGCGCGAGCCAUGUGAUUAUCACAAGUAAAAUGUCUCGGCUCGUAAUAAUAACACACCAACUAAAAUGGGCGGGAAUGUAUUUAUAUUUUGUCCAUGUCAAACCUUGAGAAUCCAUCUUCUUCUUCUGAUCUGCUCGAAUUCUAUUGGCUGAAAGUCACUGACCUCCAGAAAUAAGAGUUUUUCUUUAGGAAAUGUGAUUUGGAUUUAGUGAUUUGUUAAAAGAGUAGCCUAUUGUCUAACUUUCCGGAAAUCCGUUUGCGAAGCCUGGUACCACUCUGUGCAUCAACUAGCCUGGAGGCAUGACAAUCACAAGCAGGAAGAAACCAGAAACGGAAGCAGCUGACUCCAAGGCUCUGAAAUACCCGUGUCCACACCUCUAAAGCUCACUAAUACAGACAUUGUAUCUCUUAGUUUGAGCCACAUGGAAUCUGAUGGAUGAAACAACAUGUUUAAGUAGUUUUCUAUACAGUUUUGUCGUGGAACCCUUUCACUCUGAACUCAGUGACUUCCUGGAGGUUGUGAGAAGGAAAAGCAACUGGAAAACUCCAACAGCUGGUAAAAUUUGGUGACACACGAUCUAUGGUAUUCCAAAGGAAGUGACAUCAUCUGGCACCAAAGACCAGCCAAUAGGAGAGACCACGGACAUGUUUGUUGCCAGUAGAUGUCAUGCUUCACACAUCAUGUUUGAGAUGGGACAAAUUUGUAAAUGUCAGAUUUUAGAAAUCACUCUGGACAUGGAUGGAUGGAUGGAUGGAUGGGUAGGUAGGUGGUAGAUAGAUAGAUAGAUAGAUAGAUAGAUAGAUAGAUAGAUAGAUGGGUGGGUGGGUAAAUGUCUGUUUGUGCGUAGAAGCACUCUGACUAAAGAAGAAGAAUAAAAAUAUUGUCUCUCUGAAAUAAUGGAUGUUGAAAGUGUGUUGCAGUGAUCUUUUGGACUUGCAACGUUCUUCACUAAUGCUCGGCGAUGAAUGUUCCCGCCUUGCUCCCUUCGUCCCAGGCGUACCUCUGCCUGGGCCGUCUUCAGGGGCUUUCCUUCGGCGCUGGUCAUGUGUGCAGCUGGGGAUGGAGGCCAUGCAACGCUAAUCCUCCUCCCCAGCUCAGGAAAGUACCCUUCCUCCCUGUGCAGAACGAAAACAACAAAGAGCCGAGUGUGGCUGCAGCCUGCGGGGUUCAGUGCACCCACCAGAACAUGUCCAAGAGUCACAGCUUGCUGCUCCCUCCUACCCAUCUAUCCACGCAUGACUCUCCCUCUCUCUCUCAGGCUUUCUCUCUUUUGACCCUCUUUUCAACCUAUGAAAGACACGUGCGGUUGCAGACUACAACGUAACAUACCUCCAAUUCAAACCAGAAAUAGAGGACUUUGCAAGGUCAAAAGGGAGAAAAAAGAGAACGCCGCAAAAGACAGUGUGGUCAGAGUGUGUUUUAUGGAGGCAAAAUGAUCCCUUUCCAUGUUACAUGAUCCAAUAUGACUGUAUGAAUACAGUGAUAUGGUAUAAAGCCCUAAAUGGAAACAUGAAUGCAAAAAGAAAGCAAAAACGGGAAUUAACUUCACAAGCAAAAAGAACGGAGGUGAAGCACAGAUAUGGCAAAACCUGGUUGGUUGUUUGUUGUAUUGAGGGUUACUUCAUAUGUUCAAUCCAAUCGGGGUGAUUCGAUACCGGACACAAACUUUGUGAAAAGACCCCCCUUGCAAUACUUCUAAUGAGGCUCAAGUAUUUAAAUACCCAUAAUCAUAAUUUUAUGAGCCCCUCUAAUUGGGAUGGCAAUGUCCUUUUGUCCAGCAGAUUGGUUCAAACUAAAUGACCUCGUCAAGACAUUUCAUUCACUCAUUGAUGUCCUCCCUCGGGGUAAAUCUUGUAAUAACGUUGGCGAUCUACUGGCUUUUCUUCUACCACAAUCCUCUCGACAAAAUGGAUGAAUUUAGCCCAUAUUUUGGUCUGUGACAAACUACCUGCGUUAUUCUUUGGUGCUGAUUAGCAAGCGUUAGCAUGCUAACGCGCCGCAGACAGUAGACGUUAUAAACUUCAAACAGAUUAGCAUUCAGCUCACAACAGCCCCGGUGAUUUUAUAGGCUUCGAUAAGAUAUAAUAAAACUCGAUGGAAAGCUUUGUUUCAAACACAUUUGACAACUUUUGAAUAAACUCACAGCAGCGCUACAUUUCCAGUAAAACCUUUGGAGGAACGUUAGGAACGAACACAGAGCACAUUUGGUUAAACCAACAAAAUGCAUUCAUACAACUGGUGUGUUUUCACAUUGACAGGAUUGUGUGUGAGGAAUUGAAUUGUAGAUUUUGAAAGUACAAAAGGUGUUAGCAGACCUGCCGCGCUGUUACUCCACUGUAUUAUUGAGUAAUUUGACCACACAGCAAUGCUUCUUUUGGUCACUCACUUCCUGGUUGGGAUGACGUAACUGCAGUUGGACGGUUUGCCAAAAGAUUUGUAACAACCUAAUUGGGUAUGUUUAAGAGAACGAAAACGUUUAAAAUGGUAUAAUGAAACUUUUAACGGAAAUCCCAUUCUCACAUCUAUUUACUAAAAAUAUGUUUGGAUAGGUUUAACAUCCUUUUAAGUGAUAUUCCUUUUGUGACUAAGGAGUUACACUCCAAACCGACAUACCCGUCAGUUAAAAUAAAUGGUUCUGAAAAUAUAUAUAUAGAUCUAUAUUUUAUUUUCAAUUGAAACAUUUUCCCCCCAAAUAGAUAUGAAACACAAAGUAUAAUAACUAUAUUCUCGAUUGCCAGUGAUUAAAUGACAGACUAACUUGUUUAAACUGAACAUCUUUAAUGCGUUUGGGACACCAAUCCCGUGCGUAAUUACACAUUUGGUGGCGUUUUCACUUUAGCAUUCACUAAGUGAGUGUCAUGUUUAUGAGAGCAUAUUUGUUUGCAGGGAGGUUGGUUGAUUACUGGCAGAGUUUGCAGAGCCCCCCCCCUCUCUCUCUCUCUCUCUCUCCCUUUCUCUCUCCCUCUCUUCAUUCAGCUGCCGCGGUCUUUUUUUUUUGUCCAGCUCUGGAGCCUCCACCGCACAGCUCGAUCGAUUCGCAUUGAUUGUCCCUGACGAGCUGCUCCACUUUCUAGCCAAUGUCAGCCAGUCUGCGAUCGGGAAGGAGAGAAAUGAAGGAAAAUCUCUGCCGCCCUGGCGGUGUCAUUUCCACACACUUGGGUUGGCCGCCUGCCAGGCAGACAGGACGCUCCAAAGAGGCGGACUGGACUUCUGGGGCUGAGCGCGAGGAGACGCGACGGGGGAGGAGGAGGAGGAGGAGGAGGAAGAGGAGGAGGAAGAUUUCUGUCCGUGCGGCGCACGCUGCGCUCUGCUCUCCAAACGCAUCGAUGGGUGGUGUUUUUUUUUUUUUUUUUACCGCCCUGCGUUUCUC